AUAGUCGUCUCUGAUGGCCAGGGGAAUUCCUGGCAGAGUGAUUUUUGAGACUACCGCACUGAAUCACAUUGCCAGGGAUUUCCAAUGGCUGACAUGAAGAACGCAACCUCUUUCUCGGAAACACAGUCGAAUUUGAUAACUGACGCGGCCAUGUUUUUUCCUCCAUUUGCAUAUGCAAACAAAGCCGCUUAGCUCUCUGUCACGAACAGACGCUGGGAUGGCCCGGCUGUGCGGCAGCAGGACUUAACCCACAUGUGAGCAGUGAGUGUCUGCCAUGUUCACAGUGGUUAAGUUCUGCCGCCACAAGGCUGCAGCCUGCGGGGGGUAAAGGUCAGGGAGGAGCCGGACCGCAUCAAGCUGCAUCGACGCCAGAGCUUCAGACGAGAUGAAAUGUGAGGCUCGCUUUGAUUAAAAGAAAGAAAAAAAAAUCCACCUACGUGUCUUCAUGAGUCAAUGAAAACACUGCAAUCGUCCUGAAAUCAGUAGAUAAAACAAACGCAAUUUAUUUAAUGUUUUAUUUAAUUGUUUCAGGCACUUUACGAGGACAUCAUCUCGCUGCACACUCUAAAUCUACAACGGUUUAAUGGCUGCAAACAAGCUUUUUAUCUCGAUGUGGAUUUUCAAAUAAAGUGGUGGAUAAAAAAAAAACAAUGUGAAUUCCCAUUUUGUUUUUGCAGACUAAGUGGCUGAAUUUGGAUAGAAACUUGGCUGAAUAGAGCAGCUCAAAUCCAGCUCACAUGUAAAAAUGUUGUGUGUUGCGAUUUAGUCGUGAAAGCGUAAGAAUGACGCAUUGUGGUCAAGGGGGCCGUGCGGAAGCAGUUACCACUGACCAUGAGCCAAAAACAAAAAGCUGCUAAUCUGUUUCAUGGACUGAAGUUGUGCAGCUUCAGUGUUGUCCGUGUCUGCUAAAUGUCAGCCGUCUCAUUAGCGUCAAAGACCUCUCCUGUUGCUGUCGGGAGAGCGACGUCCCAGCUCAUGUUCUGAUUUCCUGCGUGUGUGUGUGUGUGUGUGUGUGUG
Gasterosteus aculeatus aculeatus (three-spined stickleback) is the source of this 1017-nucleotide long non-coding RNA. The record is from Ensembl. NCBI's taxonomy places the organism in Eukaryota, Metazoa, Chordata, Actinopteri, Perciformes, Gasterosteidae.